This 1481-nucleotide ribosomal RNA is filed under the name uncultured Planctomycetaceae bacterium. Its description in RNAcentral is "bacterial SSU rRNA". It matches the Rfam family "Bacterial small subunit ribosomal RNA". The record is from RNAcentral. Lineage: Bacteria; Pseudomonadati; Planctomycetota; Planctomycetia; Planctomycetales; Planctomycetaceae.
AGAGUUUGAUCAUGGCUCAGAAUGAACGUUGGCGGCGUGGAUUAGGCAUGCAAGUCGAACGCGAAAAGGGGCAACUCUUAGUAGCGUGGCGAAAGGGGCAGUAAUACAUAGGUAACCUACCUUCGGGUCUGGGACAUGCGGGUGAAAACCCGUGCAAUACUGGACGCCAUUACGGGGGGGCAUCCUCCUGUACUGAAAGGUUACGCCCGAAGAGGGACCUAUGCUCUAUCAGCUAGUUGGUAAGGUAACGGCUUACCAAGGCGAUGACGGAUAGGGGGUGUGAGAGCACGACCCCCGUCACUGGCACUGAGAACUGGCCAGACUCCUACGGGAGGCUGCAGUCGAGAAUCUUCGGCAAUGGGCGAAAGCCUGACCGAGCGACGCCGCGUGGAGGAUGAAGGCCUUCGGGUUGUAAACUCCUGUUGGGGGGGAACAAAUCAAUGAGUGAACCCCUGAGGAAGCACGGGCUAAGUUCGUGCCAGCAGCCGCGGUAAGACGAACCGUGCGAACGUUAUUCGGAUUUAUUGGGCUUAAAGAGUGCGUAGGUGGCAGUGUAAGUCGGAGGUGAAAUACUAUCGGCUCAACCGUGGAAUUGCCUUCGAUACUGCAUUGCUUGAGGGGGAUAGGGGCAAGUGGAACUUCCGGUGGAGCGGUGAAAUGUGUUGAGAUCGGAAGGAACGCCAGUGGCGAAAGCGACUUGCUGGGUCUUCUCUGACACUGAGGCACGAAAGCUAGGGGAGCAAACGGGAUUAGAUACCCCGGUAGUCCUAGCCGUAAACGAUGGGUACUGGGUAGAAAGUGUUCCGAUGGCACCUUCUGCCGAAGCGAAAGUGUUUAGUACCCCGCCUGGGGAGUAUGGUCGCAAGGCUGAAACUCAAAGGAAUUGACGGGGGCUCACACCAGCGGUGGAGCAUGUGGCUUAAUUCGAGGCUACGCGAAGAACCUUAUCCUAGGCUUGACAUGUACGGAUUAGCUGGCGGAAACGUCAGUAACACUCGCAAGAGCGGAACGUACACAGGUGCUGCAUGGCUGUCGUCAGCUCGUGUUGUGAGAUGUCGGGUUAAGUCCCUUAACGAGCGAAACCCUUGUCCUUAGUUACCAGCGGGUUAUGCCGGGAACUCUAAGGAGACUGCCGGUGUUAAGCCGGAGGAAGGUGGGGAUGACGUCAAGUCCUCAUGGCCUUUAUGCCUAGGGCUGCACACGUGCUACAAUGGAGCGUAACAAAGGGAAGCAAAACGGCGACGUCAAGCAAAUCCCAAAAACCGCUCCCCAGUUCAGAUUGCAGGCUGCAACUCGCCUGCAUGAAGCCGGAAUCGCUAGUAAUCGCAGGUCAGCCAUACUGCGGUGAAUGUGUUCCUGAGCCUUGUACACACCGCCCGUCAAGCCACGAAAGCGAGGGGCAUCCGAAGUCGCUGUGCUAACCGUAAGGGGGUAGGCGCCGAAGAUGAAACUCGUGAUUGGGACUAAGUCGUAACAAGGUA